This 62-nucleotide microRNA precursor is filed under the name Patiria miniata (bat star). Its description in RNAcentral is "Pmi-Mir-92-o26_pre stem-loop". Lineage: Eukaryota; Metazoa; Echinodermata; Asteroidea; Valvatida; Asterinidae. The record is from RNAcentral.
AGGUCAGGGAUAGUGUAAUGCUGUGUCAUAUCAUUGCUAGUAUUGCACUCCCCCCGGCCUUU